This 505-nucleotide ribosomal RNA is filed under the name uncultured bacterium. Its description in RNAcentral is "partial 16S ribosomal RNA". It matches the Rfam family "Bacterial small subunit ribosomal RNA", at positions 28 to 507 of the family's 1533-position model. The record is from RNAcentral.
GACGAACGCUGGCGGCGUGCCUAAUACAUGCAAGUAGAACGCACAGUUUAUACCGUAGCUUGCUGCACCAUAGACUGUGAGUUGCGAACGGGUGAGUAACGCGUAGGUAACCUGCCUGGUAGCGGGGGAUAACUAUUGGAAACGAUAGCUAAUACCGCAUAAUAUUGAUUAUUGCAUGAUAAUUGAUUGAAAGAUGCUAUUGCAUCACUACCAGAUGGACCUGCGUUGUAUUAGCUAGUAGGUGAGGUAACGGCUCGCCUAGGCGACGAUACAUAGCCGACCUGAGAGGGUGAUCGGCCACACUGGGACUGAGACACGGCCCAGACUCCUACGGGAGGCAGCAGUAGGGAAUCUUCGGCAAUGGACGAAAGUCUGACCGAGCAACGCCGCGUGAGUGAAGAAGGUUUUCGGAUCGUAAAGCUCUGUUGUAAGAGAAGAACGGGUGUGAGAGUGGAAAGUUCACACUGUGACGGUAUCUUACCAGAAAGGGACGGCUAACUACGUG